RNAcentral lists this unclassified non-coding RNA (343 nucleotides) under soil metagenome. RNAcentral describes it as "partial contains 5.8S ribosomal RNA, internal transcribed spacer 2, and large subunit ribosomal RNA". The stretch from base 1 to 120 matches the Rfam family "5.8S ribosomal RNA", at positions 35 to 154 of the family's 154-position model. The record is from RNAcentral.
GAUGAAGAACGUAGCGAAAUGCGAUAAGUAAUGUGAAUUGCAGAAUUCAGUGAACCAUCGAAUCUUUGAACGCACAUUGCGCCCGCCAGCAUUCAGGCGGGCAUGCCUGUUCGAGCGUCAUUUCAACCCUCGACCUCCCUUUGGGGAAGUCGGCGUUGGGGACCGGCAGCACACCGCCGGCCCUGAAAUGGAGUGGCGGCCCGUCCGCGGCGACCUCUGCGUAGUAAUCCAACUCGCACCGGAACCCCGACGCGGCCACGCCGUAAAACACCCAACUUCUGAACGUUGACCUCGAAUCAGGUAGGACUACCCGCUGAACUUAAGCAUAUCAAUAAGCGGAGGA